GGCCAACCGUUCCCUGGGGACUGUGCACUGUUCUGCAUGUGAUGCGCCGAUGGCAUCUUUCCUGCAUCGGGCUACAUUGGCUCUUUCUCAGCGGUGCACAGUGCGUUUUCGGCAAUGAUGGCGCGGUCUACUGUGGCAUCCACCUCCGCGGAGUGAAUGCGCUCAUGCCUGAACUGAAGGAACCGAGUCGGCGUUGAGCAAAGCAACUCCAGGAAUGGUCGGAACGUGGCUGACCUGAAGAUUUGCGCAGUCUACUGUGGCAUCCACCUCCCCAAGGAAAGCACAGAAGUCGUGGUCGUUCCCAAGACACCGAAUCGACGUUAAGCAAAGGGAACUCGCGGUAUACGUCACUGCUGAGGCCAAUGCCGCUGGAACUUGCUCAGCGGUUUUGGGUGUCGACAGCUAUGGCACCGUGUUCCAGGUUCUGAACUUCGGCGAUAAGGUUCGACGUUUCGGGGUGAGGCCACUCAUUUGCGUGGAAGCGGACGGUGUCCACCCGCUGUGGCCGUCAGUCACGUGCUGCGAAGAUGCGCCGUUACGCACUCGUCCGCGACGGUUGCUGCCAUCGCUGCACCCCUGGCAAUAUGGAUGCAUGGUGGCCGACGUCGACGUUACCGGGGUCUAAAAAACUGCAAGGUGACGUAGACAGUCAUUGUCUAUGCGAAGUGACGAUCAGUCACGUGCAGUGGUGAAGUCACGUGAUCCUCAGUGACUCCGUCAUCGCUGCCUGCCUGCUGUCACGAUGGGUGAGUGGUCUAUGUGCUACGUCCCGCACGAAUCUUGACGUUUCGAUCUUUAUUGUGUUGAACUCUGAAUCACACGGAAUUUAUACGGGCAGAAAUUCGGGCUUCGGAGUUACUCAUAUUGCUCUAAACGUCAUUACGAAGCCAGCCUUUGAUGUGAAACUAAAGA
Dermacentor andersoni is the source of this 912-nucleotide non-coding RNA. NCBI's taxonomy places the organism in Eukaryota, Metazoa, Arthropoda, Arachnida, Ixodida, Ixodidae. The record is from RefSeq and is a predicted model, not a curated record.